AACUUUGAUAAUUUGCCUUGGAACUGUAAUAAAGCAAUAUUCUGCAUUGUUUGACUGUAAUUUAACAUGAAAUCCGGCAAAUGAGACAGGAAUACGAGAGACCUGUCAUUUAGUAUUACUGGGUUAGGCAUAGGUUUGAAUUUAAAUACAUUGACUUUAGAUAUGUUACAGUAUUAUCAUAUUCAAUUAGUGUUCCCGAUAAAAAAGUAAUUGUAAAAAUUUGUGUUCCCCGAGAUUCGCCGAGCUUCACCUCUCGGAGUCAUAAUUCUGUUAAUGUUUUCAGGAAGGUAUCUAUAUGGGAUGUGACUCAUUAGGAAAUAAAUUCUACGAAAAUAAAUACUACUUCAUUGGAAAGAGUCGCUGGGUGGAAUACAACCCAGAGUUCAAAUUUGAGUAUGACGCAUCACAGAUUGCACCAGAAUGGUACGGGUGGCUUCACUACAAAACAGACAGGGUGCCGACUCAUGAUCCCGCGAAGUAUAAUAUUCGUAGUUGCUGCUGGUACCAUUGUUGGCUCCAACACCAUUCGGAAAAUCUCUCGGGGACAGAUCACGCAUAUUAUCCUUAUAGUACUACGAGACCGAGUAUUUACGUAUGGGAUGGUACAUCUGUUUGCAGCCGUCCAUGCAUGCCUAAAUAGGACAUACAAAGAAUUCAGUUGAAAAUAUACGAUAUAAUUUUAA
Molecule: long non-coding RNA, 683 nt
Organism: Manduca sexta (tobacco hornworm)
Lineage: Eukaryota; Metazoa; Arthropoda; Insecta; Lepidoptera; Sphingidae
Exons: 3
Source: RefSeq, a predicted model, not a curated record